Molecule: non-coding RNA, 429 nt
Organism: Mycobacterium tuberculosis H37Rv
Lineage: Bacteria; Bacillati; Actinomycetota; Actinomycetes; Mycobacteriales; Mycobacteriaceae
Rfam family: Bacterial RNase P class A
About the family: Ribonuclease P (RNase P) is a ubiquitous endoribonuclease, found in archaea, bacteria and eukarya as well as chloroplasts and mitochondria. Its best characterised activity is the generation of mature 5'-ends of tRNAs by cleaving the 5'-leader elements of precursor-tRNAs.
Source: Rfam
UGAGUUGGCUGGGCGGCCGCGGCUCGCGUAGGGCUUGUGUGGAUUCACGAGGUUCAGCGUCGAGUCGAGGAAAGUCCGGACUUCACAGAGCAGGGUGAUUGCUAACGGCAAUCCGAGGUGACUCGCGGGAAAGUGCCACAGAAAACAGACCGCCAUCCUCGUGGUGGCAAGGGUGAAACGGUGCGGUAAGAGCGCACCAGCAUUCCGGGUGACCGGGGUGGCUAGGCAAACCCCACCCGAAGCAAGGCCAAGAAGGCCGCACCGAAAGUGCGGCCGCGCAGGCGCUUGAGGGUUGCUCGCCCGAGCCUGCGGGUAGGCCGCUCGAGGCACCCGGUAACGGUGUGUCCAGAUGGAUGGUCGCCGCCGUGCCGCCGUUAGCUUGGCUGUGGCGGCGCGGAACAGAAUCCGGCUUACAGGCCAACUCGUCCG